Molecule: long non-coding RNA, 2112 nt
Organism: Phasianus colchicus (ring-necked pheasant)
Lineage: Eukaryota; Metazoa; Chordata; Aves; Galliformes; Phasianidae
Source: Ensembl
GGGCUCCCCGGGGUUCCAAUUUUGGGGGGGGGUCCCACAGGGAAUGGGCGUGGCUCGCAGAGGGGGCAGGGGGGCGUGGCCAGCGCAGGCCCCGCCCCUUCGGACAGCGAUCGCUGCGCUCGGCGCCGCCCCCCUUCCUCGGCCCCGCCCCCCGGGCACAGACUGCGAGGGGGCGGGGCCAAGCUGGGGCGGCGCUGGAGGGCGGGGCCUGAGUGGGCGUGGCCAAAGUGGGCGUGUUCGAAAUGGGCGUGGCCACGGCUAUGGGGCGCCAUUGGGGUUUGGGUGCCAUGGGGCACGUGGGCGCUAUGGGGUGUCGCAGUGCUGCUGUAGGGCGAUGGGGUGCUAUGGGGUGUCGGGGGACUGAAGGCGCUUUGGGUGCUAUGGGGCACGUGGGCGCUAUGGGGCGCUGAGGUGCUGCUAUGGGGUGUUGGGGGACUGAAGGCACUUUGGGUGCUAUGGGGUGCUGAGGUGCCGCUAUGGGGUGUCGCAGUGCUGCUGUAGGGCGAUGGGGGGCUAUGGGGUGUCGGGGGACUGAAGGCACUUUGGGUGCUGUGGGGUGCUGAGGUGCCGCUGUGGGAUGUCGCAGUGCUGCUAUAGGGUGUCAGUGUGCCACAAGGUGAUGGACUGCUAUAGGGUGACGGGGUGCUAUGGGGUGUCGAGGGGCUAUGGGGCACGUGAGUGCUGUAGGCACUUUGGGUGCUAUAGGGCGCCUGGGUGCUCUGAGGUGCCGGAGUGCUGCUAUAGGGUGUCAGGGUACCAUAAGCAACAGGAGGGCUGUAGGAUGCUGUGGGUCUAUAGGUUGGGGGGCUGGGGGGCGGGGGGCUAUAGGGUGUCAGGGGGCUGUGGGGAGAUGGGGGGCUGUAGGAUGCCGUGGGGCUGCAGGUCAUUGGGGUGCUGUAGGGUGUCGGGGUGCUAUAGGGCGGGGAGGGGCUGUAAGGCGUGGGAGGGCUGUAGGACGCGGGGGGGCUGUAGGAUAUUGGGGGGCUGUGGGCUGUGGGGCUGCUAUGGGGCGCUGCGGCACUGUGAAGCACCGAGUGGCCGUGGGGUGUCGGGGUGCCAUAGGGCUCCAGGGGGCAACAGGGCGCGGCGGCGCCAUGGGGCACAGGGUCAGCAUGGGGGGGCAGGGCGCUAUAGGGCACGAAGCAGCUGUGGGGCACGGGGUCGCUCUGGGGUGGCAGGGUGCUAUAGGGUGCUGAAAGGCUACGGUGCACGGGGCAGCUAUGGGGCACGGAGCAGCUAUGGGGCACGGGGCAGCUAUGGGGCACGGGGUCCCUGUGGGGCGCCAGCGUGCCAUAGGAUGCCGCAGCGUUACGAGGCACGGGGUCCCUAUGGGUGCCAGGGCCGCUAUGGGGCACGGUGGUGCCAUAGGAUGCCGCGGCGCUAUGGGACGCAGGGCUGCUAUGGGGCGUGGGAUCUCUAUAGGGCGCAGAACCUGCAUGCGGUGCCACGGGGCCGUAGGGCACGGGGUCUCUGUGGGGCGCAGGGCCGCUAUGGGGCGCCACGAUGUUAUGGGGCGCAGAGUCUGGAUGGGGCACGGGGCCGCUAUGGGGCGCCACGAUGUUAUGGGGCGCAGAGUCUGGAUGGGGCACGGGGGCGCUAUGGGGCACGGGGGGUCCCUGCGGGGCGCCGGGGGGGUUCUCCUCCUGGCCCCCCCCCAACCCGCAGCCCCCCAGCAGCUGCUCCAGCUCCCAGCGCUCUGUGGCUGUGGGAAGGGGGGGCCGCCGGGGGGGGCUUUGCGGCGGCAGAUGCUCGGCCGCGGGGGGGGCCGUUUCCCACGGGGUUCCCCCGGUGCCCCCCCCGUCCUGCACGAGGAGGUUCUCAUCCUGCGGCCCCCCCGCUUGCGUCAGGUCUGCGGGAACACGGCGCCUUUAGGGGGGGGGCGGGAGGGACCCCGCUGGGUUGGGGUCCUUUUAGGGUGGGGUCCCAUGGGGCUGCCGCCCCCCCGCACCCCCCCGCACCGUCGCUGCUGUCCUGGUGCCGCGCAUUGAAGCCGUGGAAGGAAUCGCGCCGCACCGCGGGGUCCCACGUGCACAGAUCCACACCGACGGCAUCGCGGGGGGGCGUCCAGCCUGGGGGGGGGGGCGACGGGGGAAUUGCGGGUUGUGGGUUUCU